This 411-nucleotide ribosomal RNA is filed under the name uncultured bacterium. RNAcentral's name for it is "bacterial SSU rRNA". It matches the Rfam family "Bacterial small subunit ribosomal RNA", at positions 354 to 776 of the family's 1533-position model. The record is from RNAcentral.
GCAGGGAAUUUUGCACAAUGGGCGAAAGCCUGAUGCAGCGACGCCGCGUGGGGGAUGAAUGCCUUCGGGUUGUAAACCCCUUUCAGGAGGGACGAAGCGAAAGUGACGGUACCUCCAGAAGAAGCCCCGGCCAACUACGUGCCAGCAGCCGCGGUAAUACGUAGGGGGCGAGCGUUGUCCGGAUUUAUUGGGCGUAAAGAGCUCGUAGGCGGCUCAGCAAGUCGGCCGUGAAAGCCUGAGGCUCAACCUCAGGAUGCCGGUCGAAACUGCUGUGGCUAGGGUUCGGUAGAGGAGAGUGGAAUUCCCGGUGUAGCGGUGAAAUGCGCAGAUAUCGGGAGGAACACCAGUAGCGAAGGCGGCUCUCUGGGCCGACACCGACGCUGAGGAGCGAAAGCUAGGGGAGCAAACAGG